Molecule: long non-coding RNA, 273 nt
Organism: Symphalangus syndactylus (siamang)
Lineage: Eukaryota; Metazoa; Chordata; Mammalia; Primates; Hylobatidae
Source: RefSeq, a predicted model, not a curated record
CAUGCUAGUACAGCCUAUCCUCAGCUUUCCAGAAGGUGGAAUCUUGUGAUAGUGGAAAGAAGUAGAAGAGAUGAAGUACCUAUGACUCCAGGAUUUGCCAGUGAAAGAAGUCAAUGAUAUUUUAACUUUGAUCUUAGCCAAAAGGCCAAGAAGUGAUGCUAAUAUUUUCAUAUACUACGACAGUUGCAGACACACAUCUAACAUAGCCGAAUAGUAAUCCAGGCAACUCUGCCACAAGUCAUGGGCUCAGCCACCAGUCCACGAAGUCUCCAG